GGGGCCGUAGUCUAGCCUGGUAGGAUGCGCGGUUCGGGUCCGCGUGAUCCCGGGUUACAACUCCGCGGCCCCA
RNAcentral lists this transfer RNA (73 nucleotides) under Pyrobaculum aerophilum. RNAcentral describes it as "tRNA-Pro". The record is from RNAcentral. Lineage: Archaea; Thermoproteati; Thermoproteota; Thermoprotei; Thermoproteales; Thermoproteaceae.